UAUGGAGGAUGCGAGCGUUAUCCGGAUUUAUUGGGUUUAAAGGGUGCGUAGGCGGGAUGCCAAGUCAGCGGUAAAAAUGCGGUGCUCAACGCCGUCGAGCCGUUGAAACUGGCGUUCUUGAGUGGGCGAGAAGUAUGCGGAAUGCGUGGUGUAGCGGUGAAAUGCAUAGAUAUCACGCAGAACUCCGAUUGCGAAGGCAGCAUACCGGCGCCCUACUGACGCUGAGGCACGAAAGCGUGGGUAUCGAACAGG
This 252-nucleotide ribosomal RNA is filed under the name uncultured bacterium. RNAcentral's name for it is "partial 16S ribosomal RNA". It matches the Rfam family "Bacterial small subunit ribosomal RNA", at positions 524 to 776 of the family's 1533-position model. The record is from RNAcentral.